GCAACAGCUCAAAUUUGAAAGCUGGCUUACGCCCGCAUUGUAAUUUGUAGAGGAUGCUUCGGGCGCGGCGCCGGUCUAAGUUCUUUGGAACAAGACGUCAUAGAGGGUGAGAAUCCCGUAAGUGACUGGUUGCCUGGGCUCAUGUGAAGCUCCUUCGACGAGUCGAGUUGUUUGGGAAUGCAGCUCAAAAUGGGUGGUGUACUUCAUCUAAAGCUAAAUAUUGGCCAGAGACCGAUAGCGCACAAGUAGAGUGAUCGAAAGAUGAAAAGCACUUUGGAAAGAGAGUUAAACAGUACGUGAAAUUGUUGAAAGGGAAGCGCUUGCAAUCAGACUUGCACUGCGUCGAUCAACCUGGGAUCUCCCCGGUGCACUCGGCGCCGUUCAGGCCAGCAUCAGUUUCGGCGGUUGGAUAAAGGCCUAGGGAACGUGGGUCGCCUCGGCGACCGUUAUAACCCUAGGUGCAAUGCAGCCUGCUGGGACUGAGGACCGCGCUUCGGCUAGGAUGCUGGCGUAAUGGUUGUAAGCGACCCGUCUUGAAACACGGACCAAGGAGUCUAACAUUUAUGCGAGUGUUUGGGUGUAAAACCCAUGCGCGGAAUGAAAGUGAACGGAGGUAAGAACCCUUAAGGGUGCAUUAUCGACCGAUCCUGAUGUCUUCGGAUGGAUUUGAGUAAGAGCAUAACUGUUGGGACCCGAAAGAUGGUGAACUAUGCCUGAAUAGGGUGAAGCCAGAGGAAACUCUGGUGGAGGCUCGCAGCGGUUCUGACGU
Molecule: ribosomal RNA, 769 nt
Filed under: Rhytismatales sp. MHR-2017a
Lineage: Eukaryota; Fungi; Ascomycota; Leotiomycetes; Rhytismatales
Description: eukaryotic LSU rRNA
Rfam family: Eukaryotic large subunit ribosomal RNA
Source: RNAcentral